Molecule: ribosomal RNA, 441 nt
Filed under: uncultured bacterium
Lineage: Bacteria
Description: bacterial SSU rRNA
Rfam family: Bacterial small subunit ribosomal RNA
Source: RNAcentral
AACGCGAAGAACCUUACCUGGGUUAAAUCCCCCGGAACCUUCAAGAGAUUGAGGGGUGCCCUCUGGGAGCCGGGGAGAAGGUGCUGCAUGGCUGUCGUCAGCUCGUGUCGUGAGAUGUUGGGUUAAGUCCCGCAACGAGCGCAACCCUUGUCGUUAGUUGCUAACAGGUGAAGCUGAGCACUCUAACGAGACUGCCGACGUGAAGUCGGAGGAAGGUGGGGAUGACGUCAAGUCCUCAUGGCCCUUAUGCCCAGGGCUACACACGUGCUACAAUGGCCGGCACAAAGGGUAGCGAAGCGGUGACGUGGAGCCAAUCCCAAAAAACCGGUCCCAGUUCGGAUUGCAGUCUGCAACUCGACUGCAUGAAGUCGGAAUCGCUAGUAAUCGCGGAUCAGCACGCCGCGGUGAAUACGUUCCCGGGCCUUGUACACACCGCUCGUC